CCUACGGGGGGCAGCAGUGAGGAAUAUUGGUCAAUGGACGAGAGUCUGAACCAGCCAAGUAGCGUGAAGGAUGACUGCCCUAUGGGUUGUAAACUUCUUUUAUAUGGGAAUAAAAUGUUCCACGUGUGGGAUUUUGUAUGUACCAUAUGAAUAAGGAUCGGCUAACUCCGUGCCAGCAGCCGCGGUAAUACGGAGGAUCCGAGCGUUAUCCGGAUUUAUUGGGUUUAAAGGGAGCGUAGGUGGAUUGUUAAGUCAGUUGUGAAAGUUUGCGGCUCAACCGUAAAAUUGCAGUUGAAACUGGCAGUCUUGAGUACAGUAGAGGUGGGCGGAAUUCGUGGUGUAGCGGUGAAAUGCUUAGAUAUCACGAAGAACUCCGAUUGCGAAGGCAGUUCACUGGACUGCAACUGAUACUGAGGCUCGAAAGUGUGGGUAUCAAACAGGAUUAGAUACCCCAGUAGUC
This 460-nucleotide ribosomal RNA is filed under the name uncultured bacterium. RNAcentral's name for it is "partial 16S ribosomal RNA". It matches the Rfam family "Bacterial small subunit ribosomal RNA", at positions 338 to 795 of the family's 1533-position model. The record is from RNAcentral.